This 66-nucleotide transfer RNA is filed under the name Schistosoma japonicum. RNAcentral's name for it is "tRNA-Ser". Lineage: Eukaryota; Metazoa; Platyhelminthes; Trematoda; Strigeidida; Schistosomatidae. The record is from RNAcentral.
GGCUCAGUGGUCCAAUGGUAAAGCGCUCGAAACAGAAGGUUCUGGGUUCGAUCCCCAACAGGGUCG